Molecule: ribosomal RNA, 557 nt
Filed under: uncultured bacterium
Lineage: Bacteria
Description: bacterial SSU rRNA
Rfam family: Bacterial small subunit ribosomal RNA
Source: RNAcentral
ACGGGUGAGUAACGCGUGAGCAAUCUGCCCUUCGGAGGGGGACAACAGCUGGAAACGGCUGCUAAUACCGCAUAAUGUAUAUUGACGGCAUCGUCGAUAUACCAAAGAUUUAUCGCCGAAGGAUGAGCUCGCGUCUGAUUAGCUAGUUGGUGAGGUAAUGGCUCACCAAGGCUGCGAUCAGUAGCCGGACUGAGAGGUUGAACGGCCACAUUGGGACUGAGAUACGGCCCAGACUCCUACGGGAGGCAGCAGUGGGGAAUAUUGGGCAAUGGGGGCAACCCUGACCCAGCAACGCCGCGUGAAGGAAGAAGGCUUUCGGGUUGUAAACUUCUUUGACGAGGGACGAAAAAAAUGACGGUACCUCGAAAACAAGCCACGGCUAACUACGUGCCAGCAGCCGCGGUAAUACGUAGGUGGCAAGCGUUGUCCGGAUUUACUGGGUGUAAAGGGCGCGUAGGCGGGACUGCAAGUCAGAUGUGAAAUGCUGGGGCUUAACCCCAGAGCUGCAUUUGAAACUGUAGUUCUUGAGUAUCGGAGAGGCAGGCGGAAUUCCUAGU